UACAGAGGUCUCAAGCGUUGUUCGGAUUCAUUGGGCGUAAAGGGUGCGUAGGUGGUUCGGUAAGUCGGGUGUUAAACCCCCAGGCUCAACCUGGGGACGCCACUCGAUACUGCUGUGACUAGAGUCCGGUAGGGGAGCGUGGAAUUCCUGGUGUAGCGGUGAAAUGCGCAGAUAUCAGGAGGAACACCAGCGGCGAAGGCGGCGCUCUGGGCCGGUACUGACACUGAGGAGCGAAAGCGUGGGUAGCAAACAGG
RNAcentral lists this ribosomal RNA (254 nucleotides) under uncultured bacterium. RNAcentral describes it as "partial 16S ribosomal RNA". It matches the Rfam family "Bacterial small subunit ribosomal RNA", at positions 524 to 776 of the family's 1533-position model. The record is from RNAcentral.